GGGUAUCACUUCCUUACUC
RNAcentral lists this small nuclear RNA (19 nucleotides) under Arabidopsis thaliana (thale cress). RNAcentral describes it as "snRNA_03610". The record is from RNAcentral. Lineage: Eukaryota; Viridiplantae; Streptophyta; Magnoliopsida; Brassicales; Brassicaceae.